UAGGUAGGCUCACCAGGCGACGAUCCCUAGCUGGUCUGAGAGGAUGACCAGCCACACUGGAACUGAGACACGGUCCAGACUCCUACGGGAGGCAGCAUG
Molecule: ribosomal RNA, 99 nt
Filed under: uncultured bacterium
Lineage: Bacteria
Description: partial 16S ribosomal RNA
Rfam family: Bacterial small subunit ribosomal RNA
Source: RNAcentral